Molecule: long non-coding RNA, 560 nt
Organism: Ostrea edulis (European flat oyster)
Lineage: Eukaryota; Metazoa; Mollusca; Bivalvia; Ostreida; Ostreidae
Exons: 2
Source: RefSeq, a predicted model, not a curated record
GAUGAAUUUCUUAUCUAGAGAGGCAUGCAUGUUAAUUGUAGAAAAAGACCUGGUAUUGUGUUAUAGGCUGUUGUACUGUAUCACAAGAUUCACUUAUUCUGAUCAUUAGUCACCACAGCGUGAUUUGUCACACGUGAGGAUUGAUAUAAAAACAUAAGCACACGUCUUUUCACAAUAAAAAAAAAAUCAAUCUGGAAAGAUGAAAAUGAAACCUGUUAUAGUUGUGUUAGUUGUGCUGAUGUUAGCUUUCUGUGUGGUUCGUGCCAGUCCUCUUCAGAACGAGCAACUGGAAAGUAAGGUGUUCGGUUCACGUAAUGUGGACACUGAGGAGAGAAGAUUGGGAGGCAUAUUUUCCGCAGGGGGACCUCGGCCACGAACUAGGCGUCCCCCAAGAGACAAUGAAUGAUUGUAUUCCGCAGUAAUACGAAUUCAACUCGGAAACUUUAUUGUCAAAUAUUCUAUAUGAUGCAGCUUUCCGGUGUUUAGAAAGUCAAUUUAACAUUUAAUUUACAUUUUGAAAUUUUUGUACCCUACCAAAAAAAAUAAAUAAAAAAAAGCAA